UCGGUAUGGUUUGCAACCGUUGAUAUUCGUUGAGCUUAGUGAUAUUGUGCAGCUUGGAGAAGAAGUAAUAGGGAACCCUUGAGCAGGUUUGGAG
Molecule: non-coding RNA, 94 nt
Organism: Prunus avium (sweet cherry)
Lineage: Eukaryota; Viridiplantae; Streptophyta; Magnoliopsida; Rosales; Rosaceae
Source: RefSeq, a predicted model, not a curated record